UCAACAACUAGAUGUGGUUGCAAAGCUGAAUUAAGGGUCCAUUCGAAUGAUUCUGGAGAAUGGUAUGUCAAAAGUUUCAAAGAAGAACACAACCAUGAGCUUGUUGAAAGUUGUGGUCAAAAGAAACACAUGUAUUCUCAUUAGCAUAUUGAUCCAGCAGCAAGAGAUCUUAUUAAGCAUUUGAGACAAAAUGAUGUUUCACUUACAAGGGUAAAUUCUGUCAUAUCAGAUAUGUAUGGUUCAACCACUAAAGUGCCUUUUAGUAAAAGGAAACUUAGAACUGUCUGUUCUCAAAUUGCAAGCGAGAACAUACAAAAUGAUAUUGCCAAGACAUUAGAAUUUUUUAGAGAGAAAAUUGCGCAAGAUGAUAGAUUUGCUUUUACUGCACAAGUUGAUGAUGAUAAUAGGUUGAAGGCUAUAAUGUGGACUAGUGGACGAAGUAGGGCACUUUAUCAGUAUUUUGGCGAUGCAAUCACAUUUGACACUACUUAUGGUACAAACAUUUAG
This 507-nucleotide ribosomal RNA is filed under the name Triticum aestivum (bread wheat). Its description in RNAcentral is "partial small subunit ribosomal RNA". The record is from RNAcentral. Lineage: Eukaryota; Viridiplantae; Streptophyta; Magnoliopsida; Poales; Poaceae.